CACAUGCCCGGUGCACUCUCCUUCAUUUUCAUGGGCCCGUUUGGGAGAUAGGUGCGGGUCCUAUAGUUGAGACCCACGUCAAUUUGACAUUGAUAGCAUAUCCUAGCUAUAAACCACCAAUGUCUCAGAUGAGACAACUUCUUUAAGUCCUCUCCAUUAUGUGUACACUCAAGAGUCCUCUCAAUGCAUUUCAUAGCUGGAUUGCUGGCAAACCAUAAGUUUACAGGGGGCGAGUAUCAACAUAAAAAUGACUGUUCUGAGGUCAGCGGUAGAUGUAAAAUACAAACUGCCCUCUGGUUCCACCGGUAGAGACCUGUGGUUGAUGGUCUACCAGGCCCCAUAUAGUGUCUAAUCUAUUGCAUUUUAUAGU
Molecule: long non-coding RNA, 370 nt
Organism: Bufo bufo (common toad)
Lineage: Eukaryota; Metazoa; Chordata; Amphibia; Anura; Bufonidae
Exons: 2
Source: RefSeq, a predicted model, not a curated record